CCUACGGGAGGCAGCAGUGGGGAAUAUUGCGCAAUGGACGAGAGUCUGAACCAGCCAAGUAGCGUGAAGGAUGACUGCCCUAUGGGUUGUAAACUUCUUUUAUAUGGGAAUAAAAUGUUCCACGUGUGGGAUUUUGUAUGUACCAUAUGAAUAAGGAUCGGCUAACUCCGUGCCAGCAGCCGCGGUAAUACGGAGGAUCCGAGCGUUAUCCGGAUUUAUUGGGUUUAAAGGGAGCGUAGGUGGAUUGUUAAGUCAGUUGUGAAAGUUUGCGGCUCAACCGUAAAAUUGCAGUUGAAACUGGCAGUCUUGAGUACAGUAGAGGUGGGCGGAAUUCGUGGUGUAGCGGUGAAAUGCUUAGAUAUCACGAAGAACUCCGAUUGCGAAGGCAGUUCACUGGACUGCAACUGACACUGAGGCUCGAAAGUGUGGGUAUCAAACAGGAUUAGAUACCCUAGUAGUC
RNAcentral lists this ribosomal RNA (460 nucleotides) under uncultured bacterium. Its description in RNAcentral is "partial 16S ribosomal RNA". It matches the Rfam family "Bacterial small subunit ribosomal RNA", at positions 338 to 795 of the family's 1533-position model. The record is from RNAcentral.